RNAcentral lists this unclassified non-coding RNA (829 nucleotides) under Hevea brasiliensis (rubber tree). Lineage: Eukaryota; Viridiplantae; Streptophyta; Magnoliopsida; Malpighiales; Euphorbiaceae. The record is from RNAcentral.
UGCUGUUGCUCAAGGAACAGAUGAGAAUGCAAAGACAAAUGAUGUGGAACAAAAUGAUUCAUCAUUACCCAAGGUGGAAACAUCAAUAAAUGCUGAUGAUGCAACUAAGGAUGCCAACAGUGGAGUUAAUCAGAGUAGGAUUAUAAAUCUGUCUAUAGCUUCUAACAUGUCUUCUGCUGUUAAGACAAGAUAUAUAUCAGGCGCCAUUAUCAUUGCACCCUGGAAGAGAAAGAUUACCUGAUGUACCUCUAGAGGGAGACAAAUUACAUCCUAGAGGGAGGGAUGAAACUUAUGAGGGUUCCCGCAAGUUCUCAAGAGAAAGGUAUCAAGAUCAGUCAUCCAGAAACUCUAGAUGGAAUUAUGUCCACGGUAGAGGGAGGCUUGCUAGUAGGAUUGACUCUAUGUGCAGUGAUAGAGAUUCUGAACGUGAUUGCAUUCCCAGACAUAAAUAUGCGCCUGCUGUUGCUGCAUCAGAUGCUGAAUUCAUGAAUUAUAGUAUUGGACCAGAUGGUGCAUUUGUUGGUUCUGUUCGGGGAAUGCAAUCACGUUCAGAAUCUCUAUCAGUCAUCUUUCCUCAAGGAGGCGCUCCCCUGGAGGGAGAGAUGGACCUGCCUCUCGUGGGCUUCCAAUGGUUAGAAGAGUUCCAAGAAGCAUUGGUGAAGACAAUUCUGAAGUUGUUGGACUAAGGCUGCUGAUAAGAUUAUGAGGGGAUUUCCAGAUGAUGGUGAAGGACAUGCAUAUACACGUCCCCAACCUCCCUACGAGGGAUUAGAUGGUCGUUUUGUACAAGGGACUAGGACCUUUUCUUCUGUUCAGAGAAGGGGUCUUC